AUUAAGGUGGCAGAUCAGUGCAUAGAAUUUAAGCUUCUAAUAGGAAACGUAAUUAAUCGUUUUUCUUAAUA
RNAcentral lists this transfer RNA (71 nucleotides) under Abraliopsis morisii. RNAcentral's name for it is "tRNA-Leu". The record is from RNAcentral. Lineage: Eukaryota; Metazoa; Mollusca; Cephalopoda; Oegopsida; Enoploteuthidae.